CUCACAGGCAGUGGCUAACUACCAUGGUCGCAGGGUCAUAGCUGCAACAGGGCCCGUCACUCUAGGGGGCCAGGUCAUCCUGUCGACCCCUGCAACCGUGGGCCUCCGGUAUAACUUCAGGGCCCAGUAUGCGUGGUUGCCGAGUAACCAGCAGGAGGAGAGCGCAGAGCACAGUGCUCCAUCUCUUGCCGGUCACUGUAUGUAGUGUGCCAGAGCGGUCCAUGGUCUCACAGGAAG
Molecule: non-coding RNA, 237 nt
Organism: Pelobates cultripes (western spadefoot toad)
Lineage: Eukaryota; Metazoa; Chordata; Amphibia; Anura; Pelobatidae
Source: the annotation of a GenBank genome assembly